CGAACGGGUGAGUAACACGUGAGUAACCUGCCCUUAACUCUGGGAUAAGCCUGGGAAACUGGGUCUAAUACCGGAUAUGACUCCUCAUCGCAUGGUGGGGGGUGGAAAGCUUUUUGUGGUUUUGGAUGGACUCGCGGCCUAUCAGCUUGUUGGUGAGGUAAUGGCUCACCAAGGCGACGACGGGUAGCCGGCCUGAGAGGGUGACCGGCCACACUGGGACUGAGACACGGCCCAGACUCCUACGGGAGGCAGCAGUGGGGAAUAUUGCACAAUGGGCGCAAGCCUGAUGCAGCGACGCCGCGUGAGGGAUGACGGCCUUCGGGUUGUAAACCUCUUUCAGUAGGGAAGAAGCGAAAGUGACGGUACCUGCAGAAGAAGCGCCGGCUAACUACGUGCCAGCAGCCGCGGUAAUACGUAGGGCGCAAGCGUUAUCCGGAAUUAUUGGGCGUAAAGAGCUCGUAGGCGGUUUGUCGCGUCUGCCGUGAAAGUCCGGGGCUCAACUCCGGAUCUGCGGUGGGUACGGGCAGACUAGAGUGAUGUAGGGGAGACUGGAAUUCCUGGUGUAGCGGUGAAAUGCGCAGAUAUCAGGAGGAACACCGAUGGCGAAGGCAGGUCUCUGGGCAUUAACUGACGCUGAGGAGCGAAAGCAUGGGGAGCGAACAGGAUUAGAUACCCUGGUAGUCCAUGCCGUAAACGUUGGGCACUAGGUGUGGGGGACAUUCCACGUUUUCCGCGCCGUAGCUAACGCAUUAAGUGCCCCGCCUGGGGAGUACGGCCGCAAGGCUAAAACUCAAAGGAAU
RNAcentral lists this ribosomal RNA (800 nucleotides) under Arthrobacter pascens. RNAcentral describes it as "bacterial SSU rRNA". It matches the Rfam family "Bacterial small subunit ribosomal RNA", at positions 99 to 910 of the family's 1533-position model. The record is from RNAcentral. Lineage: Bacteria; Bacillati; Actinomycetota; Actinomycetes; Micrococcales; Micrococcaceae.